UGAGAAACCCACUGCGGUCCAGACGCUACAGGAGGCCCUCCCUCUGUUUCUCUUUUUGCUUGUUAGUGUUCCAGAACACUUCGUUUUCAAGGGCAGAGAGAGGAAGAAUCGUGGAGUUUUGAGGGACCCAUGAAGCUCUCAGAUCUGAAUGCCAAGUCUCAGGCUCUGCCAAAGCAGAAGGGAUGCUAAGUCCCUUCUGGGCCAGGACAAAAUGGAUCCAGGCAGGACCAGCUGGAUGAAGGUCUUUGUUUGAAUCACUCUCUAUUCACUGAGUGGCCCUGCCUGUAUCAAGCCAUCGUGGGGACCUGGAGCUGCCACAGAGGAAGGAAGUGGCCAUCUGUGCGCUAAAGUUCGCAGUCCAGUGGGCAAGACACAUAGCCUAACAAACAACGAGGGUUCUUCUGUGUGUCUAUGUGCUGCUGGCCCACCCCACUGCUGGAGGAGUCUGAGCCCACUGCCUUCCCCCUCUUCUCAACAUCUGUACCUGCUGGUUCUUCUCCUGAUGAGGUCUACCCAUCCUUCCAGACCCAAUGGCAGUGUCAACUCACCUGAGGAAGCCUCCUUCUGUCCCAAGUUGAGUCAGUGGCCUACCUGUCCAUCAAACUGGCCAGGCUCCCUGAGCUCCUCUCUUCCAAGACACCGGGCACUGGUCCUUUGUUUCCCCCCAGUGCGAGCUCCUCAAG
This is a long non-coding RNA of Canis lupus familiaris (dog), 683 nucleotides long. RefSeq lists it as uncharacterized. The record is from RefSeq and is a predicted model, not a curated record. Lineage: Eukaryota; Metazoa; Chordata; Mammalia; Carnivora; Canidae. The transcript has 2 exons.